Myotis myotis is the source of this 6811-nucleotide RNA transcript. It is a transcript of the gene named family with sequence similarity 160 member B1, with no coding region annotated. The transcript is spliced from 18 exons. NCBI's taxonomy places the organism in Eukaryota, Metazoa, Chordata, Mammalia, Chiroptera, Vespertilionidae. The record is from RefSeq and is a predicted model, not a curated record.
CCGGGCACGGCGGGCGGAAGGAACCGAGCCGGCUGCCACCGUGUCCCCGCCGGAGCCGCCGCCGCCGCCGCCAACGGAGCGUCGCGGGCCCGAUCGCGCGGACCGCCCUCCCCGCGCCACGUCCCAGCGCCGCCCGCCCGCCGCCCGCGCACCUGGGCGCCCGCCGCCUCCCGGCUCCGCUCGGCCUCCGCGCCCGCACCGGCCUUCACUCUGGAGCGGCCCCGGCAGCCGCAGCAGGGGCGGCGGCGGCGGAUCGAGGAGCUCUCCAGGUCGUCCCGGGAGCGGCUGCUGCAGUCCCGGGACAGGAUGUUCUCCAAGUUCACCUCCAUCCUGCAGCACGCCGUGGAGGCGCUAGCACCCUCUCUUCCUUUACAAGAGGAUUUCGUUUACCACUGGAAGGCAAUUACCCAUUACUACAUAGAGACUUCGGAUGACAAAGCCCCAGUGACAGAUACAAAUAUUCCAUCUCAUCUGGAACAGAUGUUAGAUAUAUUGGUACAAGAAGAAAAGGAACGGGAAUCUGGAGAGACGGGGCCAUGUAUGGAAUACUUGCUUCAUCACAAGAUCCUGGAAACAUUAUAUACCUUAGGGAAAGCUGAUUGUCCUCCAGGAAUGAAGCAGCAGGUGCUGGGAUUCUACACCAAACUCCUGGGCAGAAUCAAGCAGCCGCUACUUCCGCACAUCAACGUGCACAGGCCCGUGCAGAAAUUAAUUCGACUCUGUGGUGAAGUCCUUGCAACACCAACGGAAAAUGAAGAAAUUCAGUUUCUCUGUAUUGUGUGUGCAAAACUGAAAGAAGAUCCCUAUUUGGUUAAUUUUUUUCUGGAGAAUAAGUUGAAAUCGUUGGCUUCCAAAGGAGCAGCCAGUGUCACUGCAGAAGACACGUUAAAAGGUGCAGAGUCCUUGUCCACAGACACGGGACAGCCCUGUCGGCCCGAGGAGCUGCCUGGUGCCUCCGGGACGGAGCAGACAGAGUUAGACGAUGAGCCUCCUCCUCAGACAGACGACCUGUCCACGGGCCUGGAGAACCUGAGUGUCGCGUCACUGCCGGAGGCCACGGUCGUCCGCCCAAACCAGGAUUACAACCUCGUGAAUUCCUUGUUAAAUCUCACCAGAAGCCCUGACGGCCGGAUAGCUGUGAAGGCCUGCGAGGGCCUCAUGUUGUUAGCGAGUUUGCCAGAGCCCAAGGCUGCCAAGUGCCUCACGCAGAGCACGUGCCUGUGCGAACUCCUGACCGACAGACUCGCCGCCCUGUACAAGGCCCUCCCUCCGUCGGUGGACCCCUUAGAUAUUGAAACUGUGGAGGCCAUAAACUGGGGUUUGGACUCAUAUAGUCAUAAAGAAGAUGCAUCGGCAUUUCCAGGAAAACGAGCCUUAAUUUCAUUUCUUUCCUGGUUUGAUUAUUGUGAUCAACUCAUAAAGGAAGCACAAAAGACCACUGCUGUUGCUCUUGCCAAAGCCAUCCAUGAAAGAUUUUUUAUUGGUGUUAUGGAACCUCAGUUAAUGCAAACUUCCGAGAUGGGUAUCCUGACGUCGACUGCUUUGCUUCAUCGCAUUGUUCGGCAAGUCACCUCCAAUGUUUUGCUUCAAGAAAUGGUGUUUUUUAUCCUUGGGGAACAGAGGGAGCCAGAAACUCUGGCAGAUAUGAACAGACACCCUUUAAGACACAGGUUAAUUGAACAUUGUGAUCACAUAUCUGAUGAGAUAAGCAUAAUGACACUAAGGAUGUUUGAACAUCUUUUACAAAAACCCAAUGAGCACAUUCUUUACAACUUGGUCCUAAGAAAUCUUGAAGAAAGAAAUUAUACGGAAUAUAAACCCUUGUGUCCAGAAGAUAAAGAUGUGGUAGAGAACGGACAGAUAGCAGGAGCAGUAGAUCUGGAAGAAGAUCCAUUAUUUACUGACAUUUCACCAGAUAACACUUUGUCAAACCAAGAAUGGCUUAGUUCUUCGCCACCUGCUACUCCAGACCACCCCAGAAAUGAUGGGAAGACUGAAGUCCAUAAAAUUGUGAAUAGUUUUCUCUGUCUGGUACCGGAUGAAGCGAAAUCCUCCUACCACGUUGAGGGCACAGGAUAUGACACCUACCUCCGAGAUGCUCACAGGCAGUUCCGGGACUACUGUGCUAUCUGCCUAAGAUGGGAGUGGCCUGGGUCUCCAAAAGCCUUGGAAAAGUGCAACUUAGAAGCCACUUUCUUUGAAGGUCAUUUUUUGAAAGUUUUAUUUGACAGAAUGGGAAGAAUUCUUGAUCAGCCAUAUGACGUAAAUUUACAAGUGACCUCGGUGUUGUCCAGACUGUCUCUCUUCCCUCAUCCACACGUACACGAAUACCUUUUGGAUCCCUAUGUGAACCUUGCUUCUGGCUGUCGGUCUCUCUUCUCUGUCAUUGUCAGGGUCGUCGGAGACCUUAUGGUUAGAAUCCAGCGUAUUCAAGACUUUACUCCCAAGCUUCUACUAGUCAGAAAGCGAUUACUUGGUUUAGAACCGGAAGGCCCUAUGGUGGACCACAUCACCUUGCUGGAGGGCGUGAUCGUGCUGGAAGAGUUCUGCAAGGAGCUGGCGGCCAUCGCGUUUGUGAAGUACCACGCUUCCUCCACGCCGUAGAUACCCCUCCCAGGUAACCAAGCGAACUGAACUGCUGUGCACAUUUCACCUCAUGAAGAGAGGACGAUAAAAGGCCCUUUUCAAUGAAGCAUUGCUGCAAACUGGACCGAAGCAUUUCGAACCCAUCGAGUGGGCAACUUCAGUACAAUGUUGUAUAAUAGUGUUUCCAUUGCUUUUUCAUUAAGGCGCCAUACAUAGAUGUGCACGUCCUUGAAUCCAGGACACAAUCAAAGGAACUUCCGGAAAUAAGCAUUUCUAAUGCCUGUGUGAAAGCCGCGGAAUUUCUGAUGUCAUGCCUUUGAUGUUUCUGUUAUUUUAAUAUCCUUUUUGGUAGCAAGGCAUUUUGGCAUUCUCUGGGACUCAGAUGCUUAUAUUCUUUUGGAUUAAUCUGAAGCAAAAAACAACAACAAUGAAUUUUUAUAACUUUUUAAGACUUCUAAUUGGAAACGUGUUUAUUCACUGGUAAGUUGAAAACAAUAAUUCCUAACACACAAAAGGGUAUGGCACACAACGAUCAAUAGGUCACUGCAGCAUUGACUUCAGGGAGAGAAUGGGAAAGAAUAUAUUCAUAUUUGUGGAGGGGAAUGUGCAGUUUGAAAGAUCCCCCUGGGUGAGCCUCAGAAAUGUGUCCCCCACACUUGGAAUAACGAUAAAGGCAGUGCUUAUUAAAAUACAUUUCAUUUUCAAAACUGAGCUCUCAGCAGUUGAAGUGUGUAUAUAUAUUUCUUUGGGACACCCUGUAUAUUAUCCACCCCACCCCUUAGGAAACAUUUCCUUAAAGGAAGGAAUGUUUGUAAAAGUCUUCAGAAAAUUCAUUGGAAGCAUUCCUUCUCAUAUAUUUAUAACACAUAUAAAAACUUUUCAACUGACAUUUAAAACAAUUAGACUCUAGGCUUAUCCCACUCACUUGAGUAUUUGCCGAAGUCCCUUAACGGAAAACGGAAAGAAAUGUAAAUCAUGGCACAACCAGAAAGAAAAAUGUAUCAAUCCCACCUACGUGAUUCUUUUCAGCCAGUAUUAUCCACAAUAGUGUUAGAAGGAAGUAAAGAGGAUAACAGGUUCUAAAGAUGCAGGGAGGUAAGGUUUAGGCUUUGAAGAGUUGAAAUUACCUUCCAUGCCUUGAGCUACAUCAAAGGAAACUGCGUUUUAGGGAUAUAUAAUCAGAUCCCCAGUCCAAACACCUGCUUCAGACUGCACCCAGUGAAGAAUGCGGCAGUGUUUCGCCUGUUAAACUAGUUAUCUCGUGGGAAUUUAAAGAAUUAACGUUAAAUUGUUAAGGUUGACAUUUUGUUAGAGUAAAAAACCAUGCUGCUUCCUCAAAAAAAUAACCAAGCAAACACACUUCAUGACAGUUGGAUGCUGACGAUCCAUGAAAGAAAUGGGAUAGUUUCUAGUUGGUCUUAAGCCAGUUAGGAAAGGUGUGGCCUGUGGGUCUAGCGGGAGACUGGUUAACUGUUGGUAUGGCUCACUCUCCACACCAGCGAGCUCCGUCUAGCGGCUAGCUAGCCCUAUUCCAUGCACACGCAUGACUCGUGGUUUGACUGUUGUGUAUGCAUUAGAGAUUUUCGUAGCAUUUCUAGAAAUGUACCAGAAAUAUGACACUUCUGUGUCACUCCAAAACAAAACGAAACAAGUUUGGUUCAUUCAACAAAUAUUUUUUGAGAACCUCAUGUGAACCAGGUUUUUAAGGUGCUGGAAAACAAUGAGAAGCAAUUCUGCCCCUGAGAAUUCAGUCUUGGUCAAGGCUCAGUGUGCGUAUGCAAAUCCAUUACAACACACACACACACACACACACACACACACACACUGGUGAACGCUGUGAGAGCGCAGAGAGGAGCAAGCAGUGUUGCAGAUCAUCUGAAGGGAAAAUCCAUACCUCAAGUCUUGACUGAUUCUUCCUCGUGAGUAUAGAAAUGCCAGGUAUCCUGAGAAGUCAUAACCGUGAACUCAACUCAGCAAGAAGUGGGGAGCUGUUCUGUACCCUAUUAUGUUUACCACGAUCCACUGCUUCCCCUUCAUUCUGAGGUUGGUAUACAGCACCAGCCCAAACAAGUGUGCUUUGGAGCCCAUAUUUUCUCAGAGGAUGAGUAGUAAUUACUGUACUGAUUUAAAUGAUCUCUUUCUAGAAUUAUUAUAGAGAGAAGGCAAAAAAGUCAAUUGGAAUAUUAAAACCAAAAGGUUUAAGUAGGCUUAAAAAAUGACCUCAACAUUAGGAGUAAGAUUUGGUUUAGAAGAAAACAUUUACAAAACCAAUCUUUCCUUCUUGCUUUAACUGAGCGCUCCCCUGACCACACACUCUAUUGCCGCCUGGGUUGGGGCACGAGGUGGCUGCAUAUCCAACUGAGAGAGAACCAGUUGGGGUGGAUGGGUCGAUGGCAACAGGAGCCGCGAAUCCAGAGCCACUGCUGGAUAUGGGAAGAGGUGGAAUGUGUAGAACUCCAUCCAUUCCUGGAAUUUAAGCCUGGGGUCAGGCUAGGGUCACACCUGCCAGGGAGCAAGAGGAAGAGCCCUGACCUCUGUUUCCCUUCCUCUACCUUUGGUCUUCUAGAGGUAGCCUCAAGGAAUUGCCUGGUUCCCCAAGGGUGAGCCUGAGGACUGAAGGAAAUCCAGUGUUAUAGUACAACCCUACUCAUCCCUCUAAUCAGACUAGUCAAGGAACCAACAGAACUUUUCUUUAAGAAAAAUGGGGGAGGGGGGUGAGGUAUUAAGGUAAUAUUUCUCUUGUCUGAGUAACCAAAGCCUGAAAUGUAAGCAGGACCCAGUAGGACUGUCAGAAAUUCCAGGACUGCCAUGUUACUUUGCUUCCAUCUGAGGAGGGGAGGGUGAGGAGCGAAGGAAGACAUCCUCUGAGUUUUAUAGCUUUAGUUUUGUAACGCUACUCAUGUUACGCGCAUUCAGUGGCAUGGUGAUCGUUCUAGUAAUUCUUAACAAAACGUUUCAUCCCAAUGAUACCCAAAAGGCUUCAGGAUAACAUUCCGUUUAGAGGAUACAAACAAGGCAAGAAGGAUACAUCCUGGGCUUAACAGACCAUCCUUUUUCAAAAUGCAUUUUUUAGGUUCAGAACCAGAAUCAGAACUGCAAGCUUGAUGUGGUUCUGAGAGAAAAAAAAUUAAAAAAAGAAAAGCAGGUCACGUGCCCAGCCCGUGAGACUAGGGAAGACAAAACCGAAACAUCGCCAAGCCUGUCACUGCCGCAGGCCUGCAAUUUAUGAGGAAGGAAUCGUAAAAUCAAUUUCACUGUAAUGCAGAAAGAUGAGAUGGCACACAGAUUCACUACAGGCUGGAUAAAGCUAUAUUUCAAGGCCCCGAAGAUGAGAUUCAUUUAUGUAAUAACACAAGAAAUGCAUUCCUCUCGCUCACAAGGAGAAUAGCAUGUGAGGUUUUAAUUGAUUAAGUUUCCCAGGAGAGCCAUGUACCAAAGAUUUCUACAGGAAAACAAAUUAGCCAUUCCUUAAACAUGAUUCUCCCCUGUUUGAAAUAUGCCCUCCUUCUUAAAUCUCUUUAUCCUGUUGCUCUUAUCAACAGUGUAGCAAGUCACAGAGCCUUUUAUGGUUCUAGAAUCUUUGUGGCUGCUUUGAUGACUUGAGUGUCCUGCGAUCUUUAUAUCCAUCCUGUUUUGGAAAUGAUUUAGAAUAUAGGCCAUCUUUUUCUUUUUUAAAAAAAAAUAUUUUAUUGAUUUUUUACAGAGAAGAAGGGAGAGAAACAGAGAGUUAGAAACAUUGAUGAGAGAGAAACAUCCAUCAGCUGCCUCCUGCACACCCCCUACUGGGGAUGUGCCUGCAACCAAGGUACAUGCCCUUGACUGGAAUCGAACCUGGGACCUUCCAACGCUCUAUCCACUGAGCCAAACCGGUUAGGGCACCAUCUUUUUCUUAAGCCACAUUGGUUUUGGGCUCCAACAGAAAUGAAAGUUGAGAAUCGAACAUCUACUUUUAGGAUAUAAAUAUUACCCCAAUAGUACAGGUACCUUGGUCUCCUGGACAGAAACGGGUUCCAUUUUAUUUUAUAAAGACCCAUAUCUUCUUAAAAGGAUCCAGUGUGCUGUAGUUUCACAUUGAAAAUACUGCUGGCAGGCGCACACGACUCAGUGGGUUUGGGUUCAGAACCACAUCCUGAAAAUAAUAAAGGUUGUAAAUGCAAACGAGCCCAGCCAUGCCUGGGUGUUUUUCUUUGGAAUUUGACACUGAAAUAAAAGUAAUUCUGCACAG